This 253-nucleotide ribosomal RNA is filed under the name uncultured bacterium. Its description in RNAcentral is "partial 16S ribosomal RNA". It matches the Rfam family "Bacterial small subunit ribosomal RNA", at positions 524 to 776 of the family's 1533-position model. The record is from RNAcentral.
GACAGAGGCCACAAGCGUUAGGCGGAAUCACUGGGCCUAAAGCGUGUGUAGGCGGAUCGUUAAGUGCCUUGUGAAAUCCCACGGCUCACCCGUGGAACGGCUGGGCAUACUGGCGGUCUUGAGCCAUCUAGGGGCGACUGGAACAAACGGUGGAGCGGUGAAAUGCGUAGAUAACGUUUGGAACGCCAACGGUGAAAACAGGUCGCUGGGGAUGUGCUGACGCUGUGACACGAAAGCCAGGGGAGCAAACGGG